GUCUUUUUGAAUUUUAUAUAAAGUCUAACCUGCCCAUUGAAAAUAUUUUAAAAGGCUGCAGUAUUUUGACUGUACAAAGGUAGCAUAAUCAUUAGUUUUUUAAUUGUAAACUUGUAUGAAUGGUUGAAUGAGAAAUUAACUUUUUUAGAAGAAAUAUAGAAGUUUACUUUUUAAUUAAAAGGUUAAAAUAUAUUUAAAAGACGAGAAGACCCUAUAGAGUUUUAUAAUUAAUUUACUAUUAUAUAAAAAGUUUAUUAUAGUUAAUAAUAAAUUGAUUAUUUUAUUGGGGUGAUUAUAAAAUUUAAAUAACUUUUAUUUAAAUAUUUCAUUAAUUUAUGGUUAAUUGAUCCAAUAUUAUUGAUUAAAAAAUUAAAUUACCUUAGGGAUAACAGCGUAAUUUUUUUUUAAGUUCUUAUUAAUAAAAAUUUUUGCGACCUCGAUGUUGGAUUAAGAUUAAAUUUAGGUGCAGCAGUUUAAAUUUUAAGUCUGUUCGACUUUUAAAUUCUU
RNAcentral lists this ribosomal RNA (507 nucleotides) under Bradysia polonica. RNAcentral's name for it is "partial small subunit ribosomal RNA". The record is from RNAcentral. Lineage: Eukaryota; Metazoa; Arthropoda; Insecta; Diptera; Sciaridae.